CUCCGCAUCUCUCAAGCAUCCUCACUUCUCAAGGAGAAAAUGAAUUAUGUGACCACUUGAGCUCCGAGAACGGUGAUGGUGGGCUGAACCUACUGGAUACUGCGCUCAAGAAAUCUUAAAUCCAUCUCCCCGGAGCAGCUAACCUCCUGGAUCAGCUCCAGACCUAGGACUGUACUUUUAAAACCCAAGCCCUUUGGCAGUGGGGAGGCAGCCUCCAGCACCUAGCAACGGAGAAACCAGGCCGAGUGUGAUUGGUCAGUUCCAGCUCAAAGGAGGGACGUCGUGAACUGAUUGGGUGGCAAUGCUUUUAAAAGGGAGAUGCCAGCAACCGCGAAGAAGCAAGUCCAUGGGGCUCUGCUAUCCUGAGAACCAGAGAACAAGAGAACUAGCCGGAAGGAGAAAGGACAGUCUGCAGUUCAGAAUUCCCACUCCUGCCAGGGCAGGUCAGAGAGGAGCACUCCAGGUGGAGACCCAUGGAUGGCUGCCUGGCUGUGGUGCUUCACUACCUCUGAGACAAUCCCCUUCCAUCCGUCUUUUCCUCAUUAAAUCUCAAGGAAGGGGAGGGGGGCCUGGAGAGGGCAGCCCCUCCCUGAACAAAGCUUUCUCUCCCUUCAGCAGAAGCAUCCAACUCUCUGCCAUCCUGAAAAGUAAGUGGUUAGACUGCAGGAAUCUAGGUGAGAACAGCAGAGCGGGGUGCAAGCUUGGAGUCAGACAGACUCGGGCCCCUGUUCAGUCCCUUAAGACACGUGCAACGUGGCAGCGCUCCCAGGCACCUCCCUCCUCAAGUAAGGUCCUUCAACCAGUAGCAUUGACAUCACCUGUUAGAAACCAGAAUCCUAGAUCACCUGGAUCCAGAUCUGUGUUUUAGUAAGAUCUCUGGUGACCCAUGUGCACACUGCCUUUUAAGAAACACUGUUCAAGUGGCUCUGAG
RNAcentral lists this long non-coding RNA (931 nucleotides) under Capra hircus (goat). RNAcentral's name for it is "lncRNA (ENSCHIG00000005421.1)". Lineage: Eukaryota; Metazoa; Chordata; Mammalia; Artiodactyla; Bovidae. The record is from RNAcentral.